CUUUCACGCAAAGGCAGCAACAGCACAAUCCAUAAAGAUAGUGGCACAUGUGGAUGAAGUCCUUUCUGCCUCUGCAAAGAAGAGCCCCUCGUGGCCAGACUUUUGCCAUUGUGAUGUGCUUGUAACAUGGCAGCAGUCUGCUCCUGAAUCAGAGAAAUGAAGAUGGGAAGUAAAUGGCUGUAAAUUAAAUGAACAGGUGGGGCUCUGCGAAGCUGAAGAUGGCCACUUGGUUCUUCCCAGCGACCUGGGAAACCACCAUUUUUCAAUGUUUGCAUUCCAUCACCCAUGAUAGUACAUUUAAAGAAACUCUUUCGGCCCCUGGAGGCCUCAGACCUCCACCCACUGAACGCUUGGAGCAUCUGCAGCUGGAUUUCGUACAACUGACACUUAAUAUGGGUUGCCAACAUGUUCUUGUUCCUGGAUUAUGUUCUCCAGAUGGGGUAGAGCCUUCCCCUGCCACCAGGCCGAUGCCCUCACAGUGGCAAAAAAACUGUCUGAAAAUGUCUUUCCCACGUGGGGUAUAUCUGCCAGUUUCCGGUGAUGGAGCCCCCACUUCCCUGGACAAACCAUACGAGCCUUAAUGAAAACCUUGAACCCAUCUUGCAAUUAUCACCAUCCUUAUCCUCCUCAAUCAUCAGGGAAAGUUGAGAAAACUAACGGGAAAACUGAUUCAAGCAGGACAAGUAUUAAUUCUAUGGGAUGGCAUAAACUGAGGGGAUGUGUAAUGAUUUUUUUUUUUCCCCACAGAAUUAAAGAAAUUUUUUCUCGGGGCCUGCCCGGUGGUGUAGCGGUAAAGUUCACACGUUGUGCGUCUUGGCAGCGCAGGGUUUGCCCGUCCAAAUCCCGGACUGGACUCCGGCCUAAGGUAUCGCUCUGGGUCUUGCCGACUGUUCGCAGUGCCCCGUUUGGAAAACAAAGUCACCCACAGGAGCUGGUCACCCGCAGAACAAUGCCUGUUGGUACAUGACCUUCUGCUGAUGCCCCAUUGUCUCAUAUGACAGCUACUGUAGGUCUCCAAUGUCUUAUACUCCAGCCUGUCACCAACAGGUUAAAGGGGCUCGCCCAGAUUCCAGUUGAAAGGAUCCUGUUGGUCACAGUUAGAGCCUGGGGACUGGUCAUCUGGAAGGUUCCUCAAAGGAAGACGGCCCUCGAGCCCCAUUGGAAAGGCCCUCCUGAAGGUCUCCUGACCACUGACUCUGCCUAGAGCUAGAAGGCGCUGAGCCUUGGAGACAAUCUCACAGUGAAGAAGUCCCCACCUGGCAUCUGGUCCUGUGCACAUGCUGAGGCCUCCAAGUCACAUGGACCCGGAGGAGAAGCAGCCGACCUCUGAUGCUGACAGCCUUCCCAAGAUUCAGGACUCGGCAGUAUAUGUGUACACCCUGCUCUGACCUUAUAGCUGAUCCUCUUCCUAACAGACCUGUUCUAUCACAUUGGGAAAUCUAUUGAGUUGCAUGAUUAUUCAGCAUUUUUCCUAAGAAAGUGUCAUUCAGUUAGCUGGUGGUCUGGAAUAUCACUUAACUUCCUUUAUGAUGAUGAUUGGAACUUCGCUCUAUGUACUUGUAUGUAAACUUCCCAUGCUACCACUCACUCAGAUCUGCUGCAG
This is a long non-coding RNA of Equus asinus (donkey), 1603 nucleotides long. The record is from Ensembl. NCBI's taxonomy places the organism in Eukaryota, Metazoa, Chordata, Mammalia, Perissodactyla, Equidae.